CCUACGGGAGGCUGCAGUGAGGAAUAUUGGUCAAUGGACGGAAGUCUGAACCAGCCAUGCCGCGUGCAGGAAGACGGCUCUAUGAGUUGUAACCUGCUUUUGUACAAGGGUAAACCUGAAUACGUGUAUUCAGCUGAAAGUACUGUACGACUAAGGAUCGGCUAACUCCGUGCCAGCAGCCGCGGUAAUACGGAGGAUCCAAGCGUUUUCCGGAUUUAUUGGGUUUAAAGGGUGCGUAGGCGGAUUGAUAAGUUAGAGGUGAAAUGUCCGAGCUUAACUCGGGAACUGCCUCUAAUACUGUUGGUCUAGAGAAUAGAUGCGGUAGGCGGAAUGUAUGGUGUAGCGGUGAAAUGCUUAGAGAUCAUACAGAACACCGAUUGCGAAGGCAGCUUACCAAUCUAUAUCUGACGUUGAGGCACGAAAGCGUGGGGAGCAAACAGGAUUAGAUACCCUUGUAGUC
Molecule: ribosomal RNA, 460 nt
Filed under: uncultured bacterium
Lineage: Bacteria
Description: partial 16S ribosomal RNA
Rfam family: Bacterial small subunit ribosomal RNA
Source: RNAcentral